CUCGAACUCCUGACCUCAGGUGAUCCACCUGCCUCGGCAUCCCAGAGUGCUGGGAUUACAGGCGUGAGCCACCGUGCCCGGCCAACUACAUAAAUUCCUAACAACGUAUCUCCAGAAAGUAUAGGCACAACAGCACAUGCAGUCAUUCCUGUAAUUAAGUGCUCCGGGAGGCCAAGGCAAGAAGAUCCCUUGAGCCCAGGAGUUUGAGACCAGCCUGGACAACAUAGCAAGACUGUGUCUCUACAAAAUAUACAAAAAUUGGGCUGGGGAUGGUGGCUCACGCCUGUAGGCCCAGCACUUUGGGAGACCAAGGCAGGAAGAUCGAUUGAACUCAGGAGCUCGGGACCAGCCUGGACAACAUAACGAGACCCAGUCUCUACUAAAACUCAAGAAAAUUAGCCAGACGUGGUUGCAUGUGCCUGUAGUCCCAGCACUUUGGGAGGCCAAGGUGGGUGGAUCACCUGAGGUCAGGAGGUCGAGACCAGCCUGGCCAACAUGGUGAAGUCUCGUCCCUACUAAAAAUACAAAAAUUAGCCAGGCACGGUGGCACACACC
This 555-nucleotide long non-coding RNA is filed under the name Homo sapiens (human). RNAcentral describes it as "HSALNT0228824". Lineage: Eukaryota; Metazoa; Chordata; Mammalia; Primates; Hominidae. The record is from RNAcentral.